This 78-nucleotide transfer RNA is filed under the name uncultured archaeon. RNAcentral describes it as "tRNA-Pro(cgg)". It matches the Rfam family "tRNA". Rfam says of the family: Transfer RNA (tRNA) molecules are approximately 80 nucleotides in length. Their secondary structure includes four short double-helical elements and three loops (D, anti-codon, and T loops). Further hydrogen bonds mediate the characteristic L-shaped molecular structure. tRNAs have two regions of fundamental functional importance: the anti-codon, which is responsible for specific mRNA codon recognition, and the 3' end, to which the tRNAs corresponding amino acid is attached (by aminoacyl-tRNA synthetases). tRNAs cope with the degeneracy of the genetic code in two manners: having more than one tRNA (with a specific anti-codon) for a particular amino acid; and 'wobble' base-pairing, i.e. permitting non-standard base-pairing at the 3rd anti-codon position. The record is from RNAcentral.
CGGGGAAUGGGGAAGCCUGGAGUUCCCGCUGCUUUCGGAAAGCAGAGAACGAAAGUUCAAAUCUUUCUUCUCCGACCA